GUGCUUGUGUUGGCAGUACAUAUAUUAAAAUUGGAACAAGGCAGAGAAAAUAGCAUGGCCUCUGCUCAGGGGUGAUGCUCAAAUUCCUGAAUCAUUCCUUGUUUUC
Small nuclear RNA from Talpa occidentalis (Iberian mole), 106 nucleotides. The record is from RefSeq and is a predicted model, not a curated record. Lineage: Eukaryota; Metazoa; Chordata; Mammalia; Eulipotyphla; Talpidae.